UGCCAGCCGCCGCGGUAAUACGGAGGGUGCAAGCGUUAUCCGGAAUCACUGGGUUUAAAGGGUGCGUAGGCGGUCCGACAAGUCAGAGGUGAAAUGCACGAGCUUAACUGGUGAAUUGCCAUUGAUACUGCUUAACUUGAAUUAGUGUGAGGUAAUUAGAAUAAGUAGUGUAGCGGUGAAAUGCAUAGAUAUUACUUAGAAUACCGAUUGCGAAGGCAGGUUACUAACACUAUAUUGACGCUGAGGGACGAAAGCGUGGGGAGCGAACAGGAUUAGAUA
Molecule: ribosomal RNA, 279 nt
Filed under: uncultured bacterium
Lineage: Bacteria
Description: partial 16S ribosomal RNA
Rfam family: Bacterial small subunit ribosomal RNA
Source: RNAcentral